AUGACACAGACUUCUGCUAGUGGGGCAUCAUCGGAGAUCCCUGAUACACCUUCAAGUUAUGAGUUUAACUCAUCAUCACCAAUGGAGCGUCCAAUGGGACAAAAAGCAGCAAAAAGGAAGGGUAAGGCAAAGAAAAUUUCAAAUGCAACGCAAGAUGCAAGGAAUAAAAGAGCAGAAACAAUGGAAAGACUUGCGCAAAGUAAGGAGGACGAGAUAGAAUUAAAGGUAAUGCAAAUCAUGAUGAAAGACACUUCUACUAUGAAUGAAAGUCAACGAGAUAUUCAUGAAAAAUAUUAUAAUAAAAUGAAAAAAAAAUAUGGAUUGUAG
Molecule: long non-coding RNA, 327 nt
Filed under: Vicia faba (fava bean)
Lineage: Eukaryota; Viridiplantae; Streptophyta; Magnoliopsida; Fabales; Fabaceae
Source: RNAcentral